Non-coding RNA from Gossypium raimondii (Peruvian cotton), 104 nucleotides. NCBI's taxonomy places the organism in Eukaryota, Viridiplantae, Streptophyta, Magnoliopsida, Malvales, Malvaceae. The record is from Rfam.
AAUCCAUGAUGAGGAAGCCUUCUCAAAAGAUCCAUAAAUCUCUCCCAUGCAUCAUAUGUCUCCAAAUCAAUUUGAGAAAAAGAAGAGAUGUCGUUCCUCAACCU